ACAGCAGUCGCCGCGGGAAUACGAAGGGUGCAAGCGUUACUCGGAAUUACUGGGCGUAAAGCGUGCGUAGGUGGUGGUUUAAGUCCGUUGUGAAAGCCCUGGGCUCAACCUGGGAAUUGCAGUGGAUACUGGGUCACUAGAGUGUGGUAGAGGAUAGUGGAAUUUCCGGUGUAGCAGCGAAAUGCGUAGAGAUCGGAAGGAACAUCUGUGGCGAAGGCGACUAUCUGGGCCAACACUGACACUGAGGCACGAAAGCGUGGGGAGCAAACAGGAUUAGAUACCCCUGUAGUCCCUGUCUCUUAUAC
This 305-nucleotide ribosomal RNA is filed under the name uncultured bacterium. RNAcentral's name for it is "partial 16S ribosomal RNA". It matches the Rfam family "Bacterial small subunit ribosomal RNA", at positions 508 to 807 of the family's 1533-position model. The record is from RNAcentral.